This 288-nucleotide ribosomal RNA is filed under the name uncultured bacterium. Its description in RNAcentral is "partial 16S ribosomal RNA". It matches the Rfam family "Bacterial small subunit ribosomal RNA", at positions 334 to 636 of the family's 1533-position model. The record is from RNAcentral.
UUGUCCUACGGGACGCAGCAGUGGGGAAUAUUGCACAAUGGGGGAAACCCUGAUGCAGCAACGCCGCGUGAAGGAAGACGGUUUUCGGAUUGUAAACUUCUAUUCUUAGUGAAGAAGCAAGUGACGGUAGCUAAGGAAUAAGCAUCGGCUAACUAUGUGCCAGCAGCCGCGGUAAUACGUAGGAUGCGAGCGUUAUCCGGAAUUACUGGGUGUAAAGGGAGCGCAGGCGGGACUGCAAGUUGGAUGUGAAAUACCGCAGCUUAACUGCGGAGCUGCAUCCCAAACUGU